CAAUGAUCCUUCCGCAGGUUGACCUAUAGACACCUUGUUACGACUUAACCUUCCUCUAAAUGAUAAGGUUUAGUGGACUUCUCGCGACGUCGCAGACGGUAAACCACCCACGUCACGGCAAUCCGAACACUUCACCGGAUCAUUCAAUCGGUAGGAGCGAUGGGCGGUGUGUACAAAGGGCAGGGACGUAGUCAACGCGAGCUGAUGACUUGCGCUUACUAGGAAUUCCUUGUUGAAGACCAACAAUUGCAAUGAUUUAUCCCCAUCACAAUGAAAUUUCAAAGAUUACCUGGGCCUGUCGGCCUAUGUAUAAACUCGUUGAAUACAUCAGUUUAGCGCGUGCGGCCCAAAACAUCUAAGGGCAUCAUAGACUUGUUAUUGCCUCAAACUUCCUUGGCCUAAACAGCCAUAGUCCCUCUAAGAAGCCGUCCGUGAAGGGAUGCCUCCACGUAGCUAGUUAGCAGGUUGAGGUCUCGUUCGUUAACGGAAUUAACCAGACAAAUCGCUCCACCAACUAAGAACGGCCAUGCACCACCACUCAUAGAAUCAAGAAAGAGCUCUCAAUCUGUCAAUCUUUACUAUGUCUGGACCUGGUAAGUUCCCCGUGUUGAGUCAAAUUAAGCCGCAGGCUCCACUCUUGGUGGUGCCCUUCCGUCAAUUCCUUUAAGUUUCAACCUUACGCCUAGACUCCCCUCGGAACCCAAAAACUUCGAUUUCUCAUAAGGUGCCAACGGAGUUCUAAUAGCAACAUUCGAUGAUCCCUGGUCGGCAUCAUUUAUGGUUGAGACUAGGACGGUAUCUGAUCGUCUUCGAGCCCCCAACUUUUGUUCUUGAUUAAUGAAAGCAUCCUUGUGAUAUGUUCAAAUUUACCCUGAACUACUCUCUCAAAUUAAGAAAUCAAUUGUAGUAUUUAAGGGUCAAAUCACUGGGAAUCGUAAUCACACGAUGGAAUUUUGACUUCGAAUUAAGCUAACCAAGAAUGUAUGAAUGCAAAAAAAAACAAAGUAAAUAAACUUGAAAGUGAAUUGUGAUUUAAGCUUUAAUUAGACAAAGAGCCAGGCUUUCAGGAAAUUCACAGGAAUAAAUAAAUUGCAGAAUUAUGCAACUGUCAGGGUUUUAAUGAAGAUUCGUU
Molecule: ribosomal RNA, 1132 nt
Filed under: Arabis alpina (gray rockcress)
Lineage: Eukaryota; Viridiplantae; Streptophyta; Magnoliopsida; Brassicales; Brassicaceae
Description: rRNA ENSRNAG00050207995
Source: RNAcentral